Non-coding RNA from Triticum aestivum (bread wheat), 135 nucleotides. NCBI's taxonomy places the organism in Eukaryota, Viridiplantae, Streptophyta, Magnoliopsida, Poales, Poaceae. The record is from Rfam.
UUACUACUCCCUCCGUCCGAAAAUACUUGUCAUCAGACUGAAUAAAAAUGAAUGUAUCUACAACUAAUAUGCAUCUAGAUACAUCCCCAUUAAUUCAUUUUGAUGGCAAGUAUUUCCGGACUUAGGGUGUACGUG